CUUUGCUUGCGCAACAACUUCCACGCAUGCAUACCUCUUCAGUUUAGCGACAAGGCUCAUUUUGCCUUGAGCGUUCUGUGGGUUUCCUGUGUUGCAUACCUAAUCGAUGGUAAUCUGUUGAUCAAUCAUUGUUCCCUUUCGUCAUGCGUCGCUCUUGCGGCGUGGGGCGAACCUCGUAGCGUUCUCUAUGAUCCACCUUGUCAAUGUCCAUGCAUUGAUGAGUUGGGCCAUUGAGCAUUGCUUGGUCUCUUGGAUACGGAACCUUAUGCGGGCAUGGGAUCGUACUUGAUCCCUCAUUUGCCCCUGUUACGCGUUCUCGCUUCUCCAAAACGACUGCUUGUCACGUGUUGGCAUGUCCAUGCGUCGCAGGCAACGUCGAAGAGGAAUGCUACCUGGUUGAUCCUGCCAGUAGUCAUAUGCUUGUCUCAAAGAUUAAGCCAUGCAUGUGUAAGU
RNAcentral lists this unclassified non-coding RNA (453 nucleotides) under Ainsliaea polystachya. RNAcentral's name for it is "Ainsliaea sp. ZZ-2021 partial contains external transcribed spacer and 18S ribosomal RNA". The stretch from base 390 to 453 matches the Rfam family "Eukaryotic small subunit ribosomal RNA", at positions 1 to 64 of the family's 1831-position model. The record is from RNAcentral. Lineage: Eukaryota; Viridiplantae; Streptophyta; Magnoliopsida; Asterales; Asteraceae.